This 253-nucleotide ribosomal RNA is filed under the name uncultured bacterium. RNAcentral's name for it is "partial 16S ribosomal RNA". It matches the Rfam family "Bacterial small subunit ribosomal RNA", at positions 524 to 776 of the family's 1533-position model. The record is from RNAcentral.
UACGGGGGGUGCGAGCGUUAAUCGGAAUAACUGGGCGUAAAGGGCACGCAGGCGGUCUAUUAAGUGAGGUGUGAAAUCCCCGGGCUUAACCUGGGAGUUGCAUUUCAUACUGGUUGUCUAGAGUACUUUAGGGAGGGGUAGAAUUCCACGUGUAGCGGUGAAAUGCGUAGAGAUGUGGAGGAAUACCGAAGGCGAAGGCAGCCCCUUGGGAAUGUACUGACGCUCAUGUGCGAAAGCGUGGGGAGCAAACAGG